Molecule: ribosomal RNA, 488 nt
Filed under: uncultured bacterium
Lineage: Bacteria
Description: partial 16S ribosomal RNA
Rfam family: Bacterial small subunit ribosomal RNA
Source: RNAcentral
GAUGAACGCUGGCGGCGUGCUUAACACAUGCAAGUCGAACGAAGCAAUUUUGAAACUUCGGUUUCAAAAUUGACUUAGUGGCGGACGGGUGAGUAACGCGUAGGUAACCUGCCUUAUACAGGGGGAUAACAGCUGGAAACGGCUGCUAAUACCGCAUAACACAGUGAAGUCGCAUGACUUUAUUGCCAAAGAUUUAUCGGUAUAAGAUGGACCUGCGUCUGAUUAGCUAGUUGGUGAGGUAAUGGCUCACCAAGGCGACGAUCAGUAGCCGACUUGAGAGAGGGGUCGGCCACAUUGGGACUGAGACCCGGCCCAAACUCAUACGGGAGGCAGCAGUGGGGAAUAUUGCAAAAUGGGGGAAACCCUGAGGCAGCGACGCCGCGUGAGUGAUGAAGUAUUUCGGUAUGUAAAGCUCUAUCAGCAGGGACGAAAAAAGACGGUACCUGACUAAGAAGCCCCGGCUAACUACGUGCCAGCAGCCGCGGUAA